UUGAGAAUGAUGAGUGUUACUUGAGCUGGAUGUCAGAUCUGAAUACCAUCUGCCUUUUGGAAUGAGAUGACCACCACCAGCUCCUAAAAAGAAACUGUUCCCAGGCCCUGUUAAUGUUCUGACUUCAUCAUUUGGAUCCUGGCUGGCUAUGUGCUGCCUUGUGAAAUUUUGAUUAAAAUUUUGCCUUCCUGAAUUUUCUCCUUAAAGAAAAAAGGUGAAUCACUUCAAAGAGAAGGAACAGAUUCUCAUGGACCCCACUGCCCUGCAGGCCAGAUGGUUUGCUGCCAUUGUUUUCCUGUUACUUACUCUCAAACAGAGGUUCUAAUUCCUAUGGGCUUGGUGACCUUUGCUUUUAUAUCAUCCUGCAUAUACCCAAAUGAUUUGAAAAGACAUCAUUAUCAUGACAUGUCUCCGUAUAUUCAGGGCAACAGAAUACAUGAGAACCAGGAUCCCAAGACCAAAAUAGCCUUUUUGCUAAUUGAUUUUCUCUACUAUGAGUUUCAAUUGUUACGUAUUAAACUUAAACAUUAA
Sapajus apella (tufted capuchin) is the source of this 531-nucleotide long non-coding RNA. RefSeq lists it as uncharacterized. The transcript is spliced from 3 exons. The record is from RefSeq and is a predicted model, not a curated record. NCBI's taxonomy places the organism in Eukaryota, Metazoa, Chordata, Mammalia, Primates, Cebidae.